Molecule: long non-coding RNA, 3660 nt
Filed under: Setaria italica (foxtail millet)
Lineage: Eukaryota; Viridiplantae; Streptophyta; Magnoliopsida; Poales; Poaceae
Description: long non-coding RNA (SITA_LNC005155)
Source: RNAcentral
AAGAUUUGAGUGCUUUAUUAAUAGGUAAAUAUUUCUUCGGCCACCAUAUGCAUAAUGCAUCGAUCCGUUGGAGUAGUUGUUUGCAUGGUGUCCAGCUCGACUGCACCUUUCACGCAUUUUUUUCCUUGGAUUAGUUGUUUGUAGCGUGAGAAAAAUGAACACUCACAUCUAACGUCUCGUCUAAUCACAUAAACUAUCACAAAGACUGCUUAAUCUUUUAUUAUUCAUUUUUUUUAUCCUGGCGCAAUGUACACUGUUGAAAUAGUCGUGACAAGAUCGUGGGUGGGGGAUAGCUCCGAACCUCCCUCAUGUAGGAUGUAUGGAAAGAAAGCAGUGGAAAAAGUUUGGAGGCCGCCGGCUUUUUUUCUGAUUUUUAACUGAGCGCCCGGCUCAAGGUGAAGGCCGGUGUUUUUCUUCCUGGGGCGCCUGUUCAAGCGGGAGGAGGGUGGGUUUGCUAUGGGUUUUGAUCCUAUCCUAUGCGCCAGUUUUCACGGGGUUUCCUCCAGGUUCUACUGUUGACGUAUGAAACUAUGAGGUAGAAAGAUUUGUUUGCUUUAUUAAUAGGUAAAUAUUUCUUCGGCCACCAUAUGCAUAAUGCAUCUAUCCGUUGGAGUAGUUGUUUGCAUAGUGUCCAUCUCAACUGCACCUUUCAUGCAUUUUUUUCCUUGGAUUAGUUGUGUGUAGCGUGAGAAAAUUGAACAAUCACAUCUAACGUCUCGUCUAAUCACAUAACUAUCACAAGAUUGCUGAUCAAUAUUAUUCGUUUAUUAUCACGCACAUUGUACACUAUUGAAUGGUCGUGAUAAAUCAUGGAUACGAAUAGCUCUAAACCUCCUCAUGUAGGAUGUAUGGAAAGAAUGGAGUGGAAAAGUUUGGAGGCUAUCGGCUUUUUUAUGAUUUUCAACCGAGCGCCGGUUCAAGGUGGACGCCCAUGUUUUUUCUUCCUGGGCACCUGUUUAAGCGGGAGGAGGGUGGGUUUACUAUGGGUUUUAAUCCUAUCCUAUGCGCCAGUUUUCACGGGGUUUUCUCCGGUUCUACUGUUGACGUAUGAAAUUAUGAGGUAGAAGAUUUGAUUGCUUUAUUAAUAGGUAAAUAUUUCUUCGGCCACCAUAUGCAUAAUGCAUCGAUCCGUUUGAGUAGUUGUUUGCAUGGUGUCCAGCUCAACUGCACGUUUCAUGCAUUCUUUUCCUUGGAUUACCUAUUUGUAGCGUGAGAAAAAUGAACACUCACAUCUAACGUCUCGUCUAAUCACAUAACUAUCACAAGACUAUUGAUCUUUAUUAUUCAUUUUUAUCACGCACAUUGUACACUGUUGAAUAGUCGUGACAAGAUCAUGGAUGUGGAUAGCUCUGAACCUCCUCUUGUAGGAUGUAUGGAAAGAAUGGAGUGGAAAAGUUUGGAGGCUGCCGGCUUUUUUCUGAUUUUCAACUGAGCGCCGGCUCAAGGUGGAGGCCGGUGUUUUUCUUCCUGGGCGCCUGUUCAAGCGGGAGGAGGGUGGGUUUGCUAUGGGUUUUGAUCCUAUCCUAUGCGCCAGUUUUCACGGGGUUUUCUCCGGUUCUACUGUUGACGUAUGAAAUUAUGAGGUAGAAGAUUUGUUUGCUUUAUUAAUAGGUAAAUAUUUCUUCGGCCACCAUAUGCAUAAUGCAUCUAUCCGUUGGAGUAGUUGUUUGCAUAGUGUCCAUCUCAACUGCACCUUUCAUGCAUUUUUUUUCCUUGGAUUAGUUGUGUGUAGCGUGAGAAAAAUGAACAAUCACAUCUAAUAUCUCGUCUAAUCACAUAACUAUCACAAGAUUGCUGAUCAUUAUUAUUCGUUUAUUAUCACGCACAUUGUACACUAUUGAAUGGUCGUGAUAAAUCAUGGAUACGAAUAGCUCUAAACCUCCUCAUGUAGGAUGUAUGGAAAGAAUGGAGUGGAAAAGUUUGGAGGCUAUCGGCUUUUUUCUGAUUUUUAACCGAGCACCGGUUCAAGGUGGAGGCCCGUGUUUUUUCUUCCUGGGCACCUGUUUAAGCGGGAGGAGGGUGGGUUUACUAUGGGUUUUAAUCCUAUCCUAUGCGCCAGUUUUCACGGGGUUUUCUCCGGUUCUACUAUUGACGUAUGAAAUUUUGAGGUGGAAGAAGAUUUGAGUGCUUUAUUAAUAGGUAAAUAUUUCUUCGGCCACCAUAUGCAUAAUGCAUCGAUCCGUUGGAGUAGUUGUUUGCAUGGUGUCCAGCUCGACUGCACCUUUCACGCAUUUUUUUCCUUGGAUUAGUUGUUUGUAGCGUGAGAAAAAUGAACACUCACAUCUAACGUCUCGUCUAAUCACAUAACUAUCACAAGACUAUUGAUCUUUAUUAUUCAUUUUUAUCACGCACAUUGUACACUGUUGAAUAGUCGUGACAAGAUCAUGGAUGUGGAUAGCUCCGAACCUCCUCUUGUAGGAUGUAUGGAAAGAAUGGAGUGGAAAAGUUUGGAGGCCGCCGGCUUUUUUCUGAUUUUCAACUGAGCGCCGGCUCAAGGUGGAGGCCGGUGUUUUUCUUCCUGGGCGCCUGUUCAAGCGGGAGGAGGGUGGGUUUGCUAUGGGUUUUGAUCCUAUCCUAUGCGCCAGUUUUCACGGGGUUUUCUCCGGUUCUACUGUUGACGUAUGAAAUUAUGAGGUAGAAGAUUUGUUUGCUUUAUUAAUAGGUAAAUAUUUCUUCGGCCACCAUAUGCAUAAUGCAUCUAUCCGUUGGAGUAGUUGUUUGCAUAGUGUCCAUCUCAACUGCACCUUUCAUGCAUUUUUUUCCUUGGAUUAGUUGUGUGUAGCGUGAGAAAAUUGAACAAUCACAUCUAACGUCUCGUCUAAUCACAUAACUAUCACAAGAUUGCUGAUCAUUAUUAUUCGUUUAUUAUCACGCACAUUGUACACUAUUGAAUGGUCGUGAUAAAUCAUGGAUACGAAUAGCUCUAAACCUCCUCAUGUAGGAUGUAUGAAAAGAAUGGAGUGGAAAAGUUUGGAGGCUAUCGGCUUUUUUCUGAUUUUCAACCGAGCACCGGUUCAAGGUGGAGGCCCGUGUUUUUUCUUCCUGGGCACCUGUUUAAGCGGGAGGAGGGUGGGUUUACUAUGGGUUUUAAUCCUAUCCUAUGCGCCAGUUUUCACGGGGUUUUCUCCGGUUCUACUGUUGACGUAUGAAAUUAUGAGGUAGAAGAUUUGAUUGCUUUAUUAAUAGGUAAAUAUUUCUUCGGCCACCAUAUGCAUAAUGCAUCGAUCCGUUUGAGUAGUUGUUUGCAUGGUGUCCAGCUCAACUGCACGUUUCAUGCAUUCUUUUCCUUGGAUUACCUAUUUGUAGCAUGAGAAAAAUGAACACUCACAUCUAACGUCUCGUCUAAUCACAUAACUAUCACAAGACUAUUGAUCUUUAUUAUUCAUUUUUAUCACGCACAUUGUACACUGUUGAAUAGUCGUGACAAGAUCAUGGAUGUGGAUAGCUCCGAACCUCCUCUUGUAGGAUGUAUGGAAAGAAUGGAGUGGAAAAGUUUGGAGGCCGCCGGCUUUUUUCUGAUUUUCAACUGAGCGCCGGCUCAAGGUGGAGGCCGGUGUUUUUCUUCCUGGGCGCCUGUUCAAGCGGGAGGAGGGUGGGUUUGCUAUGGGUUUUGAUCCUAUCCUAUGCGCCAGUUUUCACGGGGUUUUCUCCGGUUCUACU